This 374-nucleotide ribosomal RNA is filed under the name uncultured organism. RNAcentral's name for it is "partial 16S ribosomal RNA". It matches the Rfam family "Bacterial small subunit ribosomal RNA", at positions 527 to 896 of the family's 1533-position model. The record is from RNAcentral.
GUAGGUGGCAAGCGUUGUCCGGAUUUACUGGGCGUAAAGGGCGUGCAGGCGGUUCGUUAAGUUCGAGGUGAAAGCUCCCGGCUCAACUGGGAGAGGUCCCCGGAUACUGGCGGACUUGAGGGAGGUAGAGGAAAGUGGAAUUCCCGGUGUAGUGGUGAUAUGCGUAGAUAUCGGGAGGAACACCAGUGGCGAAGGCGGCUUUCUGGGCCUUACCUGACGCUGAGACGCGAAAGCGUGGGGAGCGAACCGGAUUAGAUACCCGGGUAGUCCACGCCGUAAACGAUGGACACUAGGUGUGGGGGUAUCGACCCCCCCCGUGCCCGAAGCCCAACGCGAUAAGUGUCCCGCCCUGGGGGAGUACGGCCGCAAGGCUA